GACGAACCGUGCGAACGUUGUUCGGAAUCACUGGGCUUAAAGGGCGCGUAGGCGGGCUGUCAAGUCUGGGGUGAAAUCCCGCGGCUCAACCGUGGAACUGCCUUAGAUACUGACGGCCUCGAGGAAGGUAGGGGCAUGCGGAACUGUAGGUGGAGCGGUGAAAUGCGUUGAUAUCUACAGGAACUCCGGUGGCGAAAGCGGCGUGCUGGACCUUUUCUGACGCUGAGGCGCGAAAGCUAGGGGAGCAAACGGGG
RNAcentral lists this ribosomal RNA (254 nucleotides) under uncultured bacterium. Its description in RNAcentral is "partial 16S ribosomal RNA". It matches the Rfam family "Bacterial small subunit ribosomal RNA", at positions 524 to 777 of the family's 1533-position model. The record is from RNAcentral.